AUAAUGAAUUAUUAAUAUUUUGCACUUUAAAUUUUGUAUGAAUUUUCUAUCAAUUUGAAAAUAGUGGAUAUUAGUCUUUAUUUUUAGAGAAAAUACUAGUUUGGUCGCAUCAGGAAAAGUUUUCCCACAUUAAAAAAUAAAAAAUAAACAAACAAAUCAUCCAUUAAGGAGGGUAGUAUUGUAAUUAAACAUCCAAAUACUACAAUGCUGAAAUUUUGACUCUAUCAAAAACAUCCCCAACAGAAUUUUUUUUUCCAGCAAGAACACCCAUCUCCGGCUGGCAACACAAUUCUCCUCCGGCAACUCCAGCCACAAACCCAAACCUCCAGUUACCUCCAACCACGUGAAACAACACCUUCCUACAAUCGGAUCUGCUUCUCCAGCGACGUCCAUCUCCGGCGACGUCCUUCUCCAUCACCAGCGACGUCCUUCUCCAUCUCCGACGACGAACUUCUCCAUUGUCCAAAGCAUCCAAGAAAACCAGGUACGGAAAAUACUACUUUUGUUCAAUUUGGAGGCAAGUGGUCAGAGGCGAGGGAGGAGGUUGGUUCGUGGUCAGAUCUGGUUUUUUUUUUUUUUGUCUUGAGAUCUGUGGUAACUGGUUACCUUCACGUUGUUUGUUUGUAUAUUUUAGGAGGUAACUGGUUACCUUCACAUUCUGAUGUGUGUAUAUUUCUGGGUUCUAUAUGGUAACUGGUUACCUAGGUUACUAAAUCAUACUUACUCUUCUUCUUUUUUUCCUUCAAA
Molecule: long non-coding RNA, 747 nt
Organism: Humulus lupulus (European hop)
Lineage: Eukaryota; Viridiplantae; Streptophyta; Magnoliopsida; Rosales; Cannabaceae
Exons: 2
Source: RefSeq, a predicted model, not a curated record